Molecule: ribosomal RNA, 435 nt
Filed under: uncultured bacterium
Lineage: Bacteria
Description: partial 16S ribosomal RNA
Rfam family: Bacterial small subunit ribosomal RNA
Source: RNAcentral
GAGCGAACGCUGGCGGCAGGCCUAACACAUGCAAGUCGAACGAACCUUUCGGGGUUAGUGGCGGACGGGUGAGUAACACGUGGGAACGUGCCUUUAGGUUCGGAAUAACUCAGGGAAACUUGUGCUAAUACCGAAUGUGCCCUUCGGGGGAAAGAUUUAUCGCCUUUAGAGCGGCCCGCGUCUGAUUAGCUAGUUGGUUGAGGUAAUGGCUCACCAAGGCGACGAUCAGUAGCUGGUCUGAGAGGAUGAUCAGCCACAUUGGGACUGAGACACGGCCCAAACUCCUACGGGAAGCAGCAGUGGGGAAUCUUGCGCAAUGGGCGAAAGCCUGACGCAGCCAUGCCGCGUGAAUGAUGAAGGUCUUAGGAUUGUAAAAUUCUUUCACCGGGGACGAUAAUGACGGUACCCGGAGAAGAAGCCCCGGCUAACUUCGUG